AGUGAACGCUGGCGGCGUGCUUAACACAUGCAAGUCGAACGAGAACGGGAUAUAGCUUGCUAUAUUUGUCAGCUAAGUGGCGCACGGGUGAGUAAUGUAUAGAUAACCUGCCCUCUAGAAAGGAAUAACAGUUGGAAACGACUGCUAAUGCCCUAUAUGCCUUUAAUACAUAAGUAUGCAAGGGAAACGCUUUAGUGCUAGAGGAUGGGUCUGUAUGGUAUCAGCUUGUUGGUGAGGUAAUGGCUCACCAAGGCUAUGACGCCUAACUGGUUUGAGAGGAUGGUCAGUCAAACUGGAACUGAGACACGGUCCAGACUCCUACGGGAGGCAGCAGUGGGGAAUAUUGCACAAUGGACGAAAGUCUGAUGCAGCAACGCCGCGUGGAGGAUGACACAUUUCGGUGCGUAAACUCCUUUUAUAUAGGAAGAUAAUGACGGUACUAUAUGAAUAAGCACCGGCUAACUCCGUGCCAGCCGCCGCCGUAA
Molecule: ribosomal RNA, 485 nt
Filed under: uncultured bacterium
Lineage: Bacteria
Description: partial 16S ribosomal RNA
Rfam family: Bacterial small subunit ribosomal RNA
Source: RNAcentral